AGCGAACGCUGGCGGCAGGCUUAACACACGCAAGUCGAGCGGGCGUAGCAAUACGUCAGCGGCAGACGGGUGAGUAACGCGUGGGAACAUACCUUUUGGUUCGGAACAACACAGGGAAACUUGUGCUAAUACCGGAUAAGCCCUUACGGGGAAAGAUUUAUCGCCGAAAGAUUGGCCCGCGUCUGAUUAGCUAGUUGGUGGGGUAAUGGCCCACCAAGGCGACGAUCAGUAGCUGGUCNGAGAGGAUGAUCAGCCACACUGGGACUGAGACACGGCCCAGACUCCUACGGGAGGCAGCAGUGGGGAAUAUUGGACAAUGGGCGCAAGCCUGAUCCAGCCAUGCCGCGUGAGUGAUGAAGGCCUUAGGGUUGUAAAGCUCUUUCGACGGGGACGAUAAUGACGGUACCCGUAGAAGAAGCCCCGGCUAACUUCGUGCCAGCAG
This 442-nucleotide ribosomal RNA is filed under the name uncultured bacterium. Its description in RNAcentral is "bacterial SSU rRNA". It matches the Rfam family "Bacterial small subunit ribosomal RNA", at positions 29 to 514 of the family's 1533-position model. The record is from RNAcentral.